Purpureocillium lavendulum is the source of this 121-nucleotide non-coding RNA. The record is from the annotation of a GenBank genome assembly. Lineage: Eukaryota; Fungi; Ascomycota; Sordariomycetes; Hypocreales; Ophiocordycipitaceae.
GGCAGAGUGGCCGAGUGGUCUAUGGCGACGGUCUCAAGAGCAUGUUUUCUAUGCGCUUUCAUCUGCCCAAAGCAGUGUUCCGUUCACGAAAGUGGCCGGGGUUCGAAUCCCCGCUCUGUCA